Molecule: ribosomal RNA, 498 nt
Filed under: uncultured bacterium
Lineage: Bacteria
Description: partial 16S ribosomal RNA
Rfam family: Bacterial small subunit ribosomal RNA
Source: RNAcentral
GACGAACGCUGGCGGCGUGCCUAAUACAUGCAAGUCGAGCGGACUGACUAGGAGCUUGCUCUUGUUCGGUCAGCGGCGGACGGGUGAGUAACACGUGGGCAACCUGCCCGCAAGACCGGGAUAACUCCGGGAAACCGGAGCUAAUACCGGAUAACACCGAAGACCGCAUGGUCUUUGGUUGAAAGGCGGCGCAAGCUGCCACUUUCGGAUGGGCCCGCGGCGCAUUAGCUAGUUGGUGAGGUAACGGCUUACCAAGGCGACGAUGCGUAGCCGGCCUGAGAGGGUGACCGGCCACACUGGGACUGAGACACGGCCCAGACUCCUACGGGAGGCAGCAGUAGGGAAUCUUCCGCAAUGGGCGAAAGCCUGACGGAGCGACGCCGCGUGAGCGAAGAAGGCCUUCGGGUCGUAAAGCUCUGUUGUGAGGGACGAAGGAGCGUCGUUGGAAGAAGGCGGCGCGGGGACGGUACCUCACGAGGAAGCCCCGGCUAACUACGU